This 303-nucleotide ribosomal RNA is filed under the name uncultured bacterium. RNAcentral describes it as "partial 16S ribosomal RNA". It matches the Rfam family "Bacterial small subunit ribosomal RNA", at positions 507 to 807 of the family's 1533-position model. The record is from RNAcentral.
AGCAGCAGCCACGGGAACACGAAGGGUGCAAGCGUUACUCGGAAUUACUGGGCGUAAAGCGUGCGUAGGUGGUGGUUUAAGUCCGUUGUGAAAGCCCUGGGCUCAACCUGGGAAUUGCAGUGGAUACUGGGUCACUAGAGUGUGGUAGAGGAUAGUGGAAUUUCCGGUGUAGCAGUGAAAUGCGUAGAGAUCGGAAGGAACAUCUGUGGCGAAGGCGACUAUCUGGGCCAACACUGACACUGAGGCACGAAAGCGUGGGGAGCAAACAGGAUUAGAUACCCCUGUAGUCCCUGUCUCUUAUAC